UCCUGACUUCAUCAGCACAUAUAUAAGUUUGGAACUAUACAGAGAAGAUUAGCAUGGCCCCUGUGCAAAUUCAUGAAGCAUUUUGUAUUUGAAAAAAAGAAUAUGGGU
Sciurus vulgaris (Eurasian red squirrel) is the source of this 108-nucleotide small nuclear RNA. The record is from Ensembl. NCBI's taxonomy places the organism in Eukaryota, Metazoa, Chordata, Mammalia, Rodentia, Sciuridae.